RNAcentral lists this long non-coding RNA (205 nucleotides) under Mytilus galloprovincialis (Mediterranean mussel). Lineage: Eukaryota; Metazoa; Mollusca; Bivalvia; Mytilida; Mytilidae. The record is from RNAcentral.
CUAAGGUCAACACGCUGGGUUUGAUUUUCAACAUGCUAGUUCACAAAGUAUUAGUCUGCAAGAAGACUUAUAAUGCACCAUACAGGGAUACAAAAUUCUGAAACUGAGACGGCUAUGCAGUCUUUUGUUUUAAUACGAAGUCCGGGUGUUUAUCAAAGAAUAAGCCAUCAUCACUUGCCAUGUCUUUAGUUUGACGCGACGCACA